Molecule: ribosomal RNA, 262 nt
Filed under: uncultured bacterium
Lineage: Bacteria
Description: partial 16S ribosomal RNA
Rfam family: Bacterial small subunit ribosomal RNA
Source: RNAcentral
GUCCACGCCCUAAACGAUGUCAACUAGGUGUUGGGUGGGUAAACCAUUUAGUACCGUAGCUAACGCGAGAAGUUGACCGCCUGGGGAGUACGGCCGCAAGGUUAAACUCAAAGGAAUUGACGGGACCCGCACAAGCGGUGGAUGAUGUGGAUUAAUUCGAUGCAACGCGAAAACCUUACCUACCCUUGACAUGUCCAGGAGUCCGAAGAGAUUUGGAUGUGCUCGAAAGAGAACUGGAACACAGGUGCUGCAUGGCUGUCGU